This is a non-coding RNA of Nerophis lumbriciformis (worm pipefish), 2665 nucleotides long. NCBI's taxonomy places the organism in Eukaryota, Metazoa, Chordata, Actinopteri, Syngnathiformes, Syngnathidae. The record is from RefSeq and is a predicted model, not a curated record.
AUAGCAGUCGCCCAAACCGACCGCGGACCAGCCCACUCAGCCUGGGAGUGAGACGGGAGGCAGGCUGGAGCCACAUCCACAUCCACACAGCAGCCCGCGGCGUGAUAAGGACGGACCCGAAUCAAGUCAGGACUGGUAGGAACCGAACAAAAGCUUGCUUGACAAAGCUGCGAGGAAAAGAAGACGGCGCCGCGUCACGUUAGUUGUGGCCAAUUCCCAACAUUCCCCCCCCGACAUUGGUAGCGAAAGCGCGCGGUCCUCGAGCACAUUUAUAUACCGGAGAGCUAGCGGAAUGUCAGCUAGCUAAGCUAAUUAGCUUUACCUUUGCUAGCUAAUUAGCUUGUCUCACUAAAUUCGCUCCUUGGACUGGAUGGGAAAAGCCGUGCCUAAAGUGCGUUAUCCAUUGCCCUGACUCGGCCAUUAUGUCCCGCCUUCAACACGACAUCAUUGCCUGAUUUCAUGCCUUUCUAGAGCCAGUCCGCCUCUCUUCAUCCUGCGUCCUUUUCUUUCCCGAGAGGAGAACAAACCCAGCGACUAUUUUUGAUCUGCCGCCUAUCUCAUGUUAAUGUCGACCGACGUUGCUUCUAUAAUGCUGCCCGUCAGUCGGGGGAUGAUGGACCGGGACAUAGACGCCGCGGCCGGAGGUCCGGCGGCGGUCCGGGGGAUGAAGCGAGGCGACCCGGAACCCGACGCUCACGCAGCGGCUGUCCUGACCGACCUGACCGGGGCGGAGUGCAAGAGACCGAGGAUAGACGGCACCGGCGACAUUGGCCAGAACAAUGAGCCCUUAAAUCCCGGUUUCCAUGGAUACCCACCUCACAGUCAGGGGUCUCAGGAUUCAACAGGAGCACAGGAUGCUUUGGUGGCCCAGCCUUUCGCAGCGUUCCCUCCUCCACCGCCUCCCCAGAACGGGAUAGCGGGGACAGACUUCAUCCCUGUGACCAUGUUUGGUGCCGGGGGUCAAGGCACAGCUGAGGCCAAGCCUGAGGAGACAUCCCAGGGAGAGGUGGGCUUGCAGUGCGUGACCGGGGGAACCUCGGCCGGUUCCGGAGCCGACUCACCAGAUGCCAAAGGGGCCCCCAAACGCCUCCACGUUUCAAACAUCCCCUUCCGCUUCCGUGACCCUGAUUUAAGGCAGAUGUUUGGGCAAUAUGGCAAGAUUCUGGAUGUAGAAAUUAUUUUCAAUGAGAGGGGAUCAAAGGGUUUUGGCUUUGUGACGUUUGACACCAGCGCGGAGGCAGAGAGAGCCAGGGAAAAGCUCCAUGGCACUUUGGUGGAAGGUCGUAAGAUUGAGGUGAAUAACGCCACUGCCAGGGUGAUGACUAACAAGAAAAUGGUCAGUCCCUACCCUAAUGGAGAGGCUCUGAGCACGCUGCCCUACGCAGGGUGGAAACUGAGCCCUAUGGUCGGGGCUGUGUACGGACAUGAGCUCUAUGCAGUCCCGGGGUUCCCCUACCCUUCAGCGGCUGCAGCGGCCACCACCGCAGCUGCCGCGGCUGCCUUCCGCGGCGCUCACUUGCGGGGGCGCGGGCGGCCCGUCUACAGCGCCGUGCGAGCGGCCGUUCCUCAGCCCGCCAUCCCCACCUACCCUGGUGUGGUGUAUCAGGAUGGGUUUUACGGCGCUGCAGACUUAUAUGGGGGCUAUCCUGCUGCUGCCGCCGCCGCCGCCGCUGCUGCCUAUCGCUAUGCUCAACCCGCAGCCGUAACCGGAGCAACCGCCGCAGCUGCCGCAUACAGUGACAGUUACGGACGGGUUUACACGGCAGAUCCAUACCACGCUCUGACCCCCGCUGCUGCUGCCGCCUACGGUGUGGGAGCCAUGGCCAGUCUAUACCGAGCGGGCUACAGCAGGUUCGCUCCAUACUAGCGCCACAGGAAGUUCACAUCUCUCCACAAGCCUUUUUUUAAGCUCUUUGUUUGGCAGACGCACCCUUCUAUCUUUUCUGAUGUCGGACUCCCCCCCUCCUUUUUGUCGUCGUCGUCUCAUUGCCACAUCACCACCUCUUUGUCUGUCUGCACGACGAGGAUCCCGCACAAACCUCACAAACACUACAAGGUCUGCCAGGAGAGAGACUGUUCCCGCCGGAUCUUCCCACACUACAAAGUCCACAUCCUCGCUAGAUCCGCCCUCAAGCCGCUGGAGGACGCUGCUUAUGGCGCAGUGGUGCGUUCAGGAACCAAAACUGUGUUUAAAAAAAAAUUAAAAAAAAUGGUAGGAAUUGUUCUUUUUUUAGAUGGGAGCGUCAGACUGACAGGAACCACUAUUGUCUCAGUCGCUACCAAAAACAAGGGGAAAAAAGUCACCCAUGUUGUUCCCCCUACUUUACCUCAGUUUUAUGUCUGCCUUACUUACCCUACCUUGGUUUCUGCUCCAGUUAGCCACCAGACCCUCAAAAAGGACUUCUUUUCAUCCAUCUCCAGCAGCACAGCGCCACCUUGUGAGGCCUGACGGACACAACAUGAAGGUAGUGCACUCAUACAACUGCUGACAUGCAGGUAGUGCACUCACACACAUGCAGGUAGUGCACUCAUACAACUGCUGACAUGCAGGCAGUGCACUCACACACUGCAGAAAUGCAGGUAGUGCACUCACACACUGCUGACAUGCAGGUAGUGCACUCACACACAUGCAGGUAGUGCACUCACACACAGCUGACAUGCAGGU